CCUACGGGUGGCAGCAGUGGGGAAUAUUGCACAAUGGGGGAAAGCCUGAUGCAGCGACGCCGCGUGAGUGAAGAAGUACUUCGUUAUGUAAAGCUCUAUCAGCAGGGAGGAAGGUGACGGUACCUGAGUACGAAUCGCCGGCUAACUACGUGCCAGCAGCCGCGGUAAUACGUAGGGGGCAAGCGUUCUCCGGAUUUACUGGGUGUAACGGGAGCGUAGACGGUAGUGCAAGUCGGGUGUGAAAGGCGGGGACUCAACCCGCGGACUGCUCUGGAAACUGGACGGCUGGAGUGCAGGAGAGGGAAGUGGAAUUCCAAGUGUAGCGGUGAAAUGCGUAGAUAUCUCGAAGAACCCCGAUGGCGAAGGCAGCUUACUAAACUGUGACUGACAUUGAUGUUCGAAAGUGUGGGUAUCAAACAGGAUUAGAUACCCUGGUAGUC
This 440-nucleotide ribosomal RNA is filed under the name uncultured bacterium. Its description in RNAcentral is "partial 16S ribosomal RNA". It matches the Rfam family "Bacterial small subunit ribosomal RNA", at positions 338 to 795 of the family's 1533-position model. The record is from RNAcentral.